Humulus lupulus (European hop) is the source of this 716-nucleotide long non-coding RNA. RefSeq lists it as uncharacterized. The transcript has 3 exons. The record is from RefSeq and is a predicted model, not a curated record. Lineage: Eukaryota; Viridiplantae; Streptophyta; Magnoliopsida; Rosales; Cannabaceae.
AUGACACCGUAGAAAGCUCUUGAAACAAUUGAGAAAAUUUUGUGUGCUCAGUAUGAAAGGUGGCGACCAAGGGUGAGGAUAUUAUUGUCUUGUACAGAGUUCAUAUAAUAUUGUCUUAGAUUUAAUUUUAUUUACCUUUGAAGAUCUUUGAGCAGGGAUGAUAUAAGGUCCAGCCUGAUUCUACUGUGGAUGAAGUGAAGAAACUUUUUAAUACAUGUCACUGAUAUGCCAAGUCUGAGAGGGUCCUAUUUCAUUAUAAUGGCCAUGGUGUGCCUAAGCCGACUUCUAGUGGUGAAAUUCGGGUUUUCAAUAAGGUCUUCUAUUUCUUUGAAACUCUUUUAUGUGGUUUAAUUUAAGGUCAAUCACUAGAGUCUUGCUUGGUUUUUCACCAAUGUUAUUGGUACUACAGAGUUAUACAUAGUAUAUCCCUUUGCCAAUCAGUGACCUUGAUUCCUGGUUGAAGACACCCUCCAUAUAUGUUUUUGAUUGCUUUGCGGCUGGGAAUAUUGUGAAUGCUUUUAUUGAGCUCCUCUGGAUCCACAAGGGAUUGCAUUCUACUUGGAGCUUGUGAAGCACAUGAGACUCUUCCACAAAGUGUUGAAUUUCCUGCAGAUGUGUUUACGUCUUGUCUCACAACACCUAUUAAGAUGGCUUUGAGAUGGUUUUGCAGACGCUCAUUACUCCAUGAAUCUCUUGAUGAGUCACUAAUUAAUAAA